CUACGGGUGGCUCCAGUGGGGAAUAUUGCACAAUGGGCGCAAGCCUGAUGCAGCCAUGCCGCGUGUAUGAAGAAGGCCUUCGGGUUGUAAAGUACUUUCAGCGGGGAGGAAGGGAGUAAAGUUAAUACCUUUGCUCAUUGACGUUACCCGCAGAAGAAGCACCGGCUAACUCCGUGCCAGCAGCCGCGGUAAUACGGAGGGUGCAAGCGUUAGUCGGAAUUACUGGGCGUAAAGCGCACGCAGGCGGUUUGUUAAGUCAGAUGUGAAAUCCCCGGGCUCAACCUGGGAACUGCAUCUGAUACUGGCAAGCUUGAGUCUCGUAGAGGGGGGUAGAAUUCCAGGUGUAGCGGUGAAAUGCGUAGAGAUCUGGAGGAAUACCGGUGGCGAAGGCGGCCCCCUGGACGAAGGCUGACGCUCAGGUGCGGAAGCGUGGGGAGCAAACAGGAUUAGAUACCCCCGUAGUC
Molecule: ribosomal RNA, 464 nt
Filed under: uncultured bacterium
Lineage: Bacteria
Description: partial 16S ribosomal RNA
Rfam family: Bacterial small subunit ribosomal RNA
Source: RNAcentral